RNAcentral lists this transfer RNA (72 nucleotides) under Paramuricea clavata. It matches the Rfam family "tRNA". From Rfam's summary of the family: Transfer RNA (tRNA) molecules are approximately 80 nucleotides in length. Their secondary structure includes four short double-helical elements and three loops (D, anti-codon, and T loops). Lineage: Eukaryota; Metazoa; Cnidaria; Anthozoa; Malacalcyonacea; Plexauridae. The record is from Rfam by way of RNAcentral.
UCCCAUGUGGUCUAGUGGUUAGGAUCUGGCGCUCUCACCGCCAUGGCCCGGGUUCAAUUCCCGGCAUGGGAA